GUCUCACUGGCGCAAUGGUCAGUGUGUCCCACCUCAAAAUAUAAAAUAUAUUUCUGACGUCUCAAAAGGUAGCGUGUUAGACUCCUAAUCUAAAGGUUGUGGGUUCGAGUCCCACGUGAGAUG
RNAcentral lists this transfer RNA (123 nucleotides) under Endocarpon pusillum Z07020. RNAcentral describes it as "tRNA-Arg (CCT) (tRNA-Arg-CCT-1-1)". It matches the Rfam family "tRNA". From Rfam's summary of the family: Transfer RNA (tRNA) molecules are approximately 80 nucleotides in length. Their secondary structure includes four short double-helical elements and three loops (D, anti-codon, and T loops). The record is from RNAcentral. Lineage: Eukaryota; Fungi; Ascomycota; Eurotiomycetes; Verrucariales; Verrucariaceae.